Molecule: ribosomal RNA, 400 nt
Filed under: phytoplankton environmental sample
Lineage: Eukaryota
Description: partial small subunit ribosomal RNA
Rfam family: Eukaryotic small subunit ribosomal RNA
Source: RNAcentral
AGCUCCAAUAGCGUAUAUUAAAGUUGUUGCAGUUAAAAAGCUCGUAGUUGGAUCUGAGGAGUGGAGCCAAUGGUUGGUCGCAUGACUACACUGUUGGCUCGGCCUACAUAGUCGGUGAUUGUUUUGGUGCUCUUAAUUGAGUGCCUUAAUUACCCGGCCACGUUUACUUUGAAAAAAUUGGAGUGCUCAAAUCAGGCCUACUGCCUGAACAGAUGUGCAUGGAAUAAUGGAAAAGGACUUCGGUUCUAUUUUGUUGGUUUUCGGAACAUGAAGUAAUGAUUAAGAGGGACAGACGGGGGCAUUCGUAUUGCGGUGGGAGAGGUGAAAUUCUUAGAUCAUCGCAAGACGCCCUACAGCGAAAGCAUUUGCCAAGAAUGUUUCCAUUAAUCAAGAACGAAAG